ACCAAGCUUCCAGGAAAAGCCACUAAGCUUCAGUCUAGAGUUGACCGUACCGCAAACCGACACAGGUGGGCAGGAUGAAAAUUCUAAGGCGCUUGAGAGAACUCAGGAGAAGGAACUCGGCAAAUUAACACCGUAACUUCGGGAGAAGGUGUGCCCCGGUAGCGUGUAGAGACUUGCUCUCGAAGCGCGAUGGGGUUGCAGUGAAAUGGUGGCUGCGACUGUUUAAUAAAAACACAGCACUCUGCAAACACGAAAGUGGACGUAUAGGGUGUGACGCCUGCCCGGUGCCGGAAGGUUAAGUGAUGGGGUGCAAGCUCUUGAUCGAAGCCCCGGUAAACGGCGGCCGUAACCAUAACGGUCCUAAGGUAGCGAAAUUCCUUGUCGGGUAAGUUCCGACCUGCACGAAUGGCGUAACGAUGGCCACACUGUCUCCUCCUGGGACUCAGCGAAGUUGAAAUGUUUGUGAAGAUGCAAUCUACCCGCGGCUAGACGGAAAGACCCCAUGAACCUUUACUGUAGCUUUGCAUUGGACUUUGAACCGGUUUGUGUAGGAUAGGUGGGAGACUGUGAAGCCGGGACGCUAGUUUCAGUGGAGUCAACCUUGAAAUACCACCCUGAUUUGUUUGAGGUUCUAACCUUGGUCCGUGGAUCCGGAUCGGGGACCGUGCAUGGUAGGCAGUUUGACUGGGGCGGUCUCCUCCCAAAAGGUAACGGAGGAGUACGAAGGUACGCUUAGGGCGGUCGGACAUCGCCCACAAAGUGCAAUGGCAAAAGCGUGCUUGACUGCGAGACCCACAAGUCGAGCAGGUACGAAAGUAGGUCAUAGUGAUCCGGUGGUUCUGUAUGGAAGGGCCAUCGCUCAACGGAUAAAAGGUACUCUGGGGAUAACAGGCUAAUUCCUCCCAAGAGUUCAUAUCGACGGGGGAGUUUGGCACCUCGAUGUCGGCUCAUCACAUCCUGGGGCUGUAGUCGGUCCCAAGGGUAUGGCUGUUCGCCAUUUAAAGUGGUACGCGAGCUGGGUUUAAAACGUCGUGAGACAGUUUGGUCCCUAUCUGCCGUGGGCGCUGGAAAUUUGAAGGGGGCUGCUCCUAGUACGAGAGGACCGGAGUGGACGAACCUCUGGUGUACCGGUUAUGACGCCAGUCGUAUCGCCGGGUAGCUAAGUUCGGAAGAGAUAAACGCUGAAAGCAUCUAAGCGUGAAACUCGCCUUAAGAUAAGAUUUCCCGGAGUCUUGAACUCCCUGAAGGGUCGUCGAAGACCACGACGUUGAUAGGUCAGGUGUGGAAGCGCAGCAAUGCGUUAAGCUAACUGAUACUAAUUGCCCGUGCGGCUUGAUCCU
Molecule: ribosomal RNA, 1340 nt
Filed under: metagenome
Description: bacterial LSU rRNA
Rfam family: Bacterial large subunit ribosomal RNA
Source: RNAcentral